Molecule: non-coding RNA, 23 nt
Filed under: Rattus norvegicus (Norway rat)
Lineage: Eukaryota; Metazoa; Chordata; Mammalia; Rodentia; Muridae
Source: RNAcentral
CAAUGAUGCUGCACCGAGGGUUC